Molecule: long non-coding RNA, 2011 nt
Organism: Glycine soja
Lineage: Eukaryota; Viridiplantae; Streptophyta; Magnoliopsida; Fabales; Fabaceae
Exons: 5
Source: RefSeq, a predicted model, not a curated record
AUUUCGCAUUCCUGUUGCAUCCGUGUUGCUUGGUUUUGUGUUUCUUUUCUCUCCCGUGAGAAAAAAACAUGGAAGACAAUGCCUUGGUGUUAUUGUUCUAUGAUGGCCGUCACAACAUGGAAGCUUCUCAUGUCUCCUUUGCUGCUCAUACUCUUGCUUAUCUCACCAUUGGCUUCCUCCCACCGUAGCUGCAUACACGCAUAAACGGACCCUUUAGAAGGUUGAAGAACACACUAAAGCUUUGAUUUUUAUCUCAAAAAGCGGCGAUUUUUAUCACAACAGAAGGUCGAAGAACACACUAAAGCUUCGAUUUUUAUCUCAAAAAUAGUGGCAAUUUUUAUGACAACAGAGAAGGUCCAAGAACACACUAAAGCUGCGAGUUUUAACUCAAAAAGCGGAAAUUUUUAUGACUACAGGUGCGCUUUCGAUGUUGCUCUUUCAAAGCUUAAACUACAGGUGCAUUUUCGAUGUUGGUCUUUCAAAGCUUAAAUAUUGAGCUUAAAUUUUUGGGUGUUCCUGAACCUUCUCCUACCUUGAUGCACUUCGUUUUCCCUCCCCGUGUUCUUGGAAACCAAAAUAUUUCGAUUUGUUGCGGUUUUUUUGAAUUGUUGCUUAUCUUUUCUUACGUGUUCUUUGUUUGGCAGAGAAGGCCCAACAACACACUAAAGCGGCGAUUUAAUUUAACUCAAAAAAUGUCGAUUUUCAGUACCAUUUUUGGGCGUCAUUCUUUUCCUUACUUUAGUGUGUUUACCAUAUGAUGGAGCAGAUGAUGGCAAAAUUUGUUUUCUCUUCAUUUCUUUGGUUACUUUAAAUGCCAACUUUAUUUUUGUGGUUCCCUACCAUAUUGUCGGUGUUUUCUUUCUUUGUUGUUGUUGUUUUACUUUUGUUUAAUUUAGGUCUUUAUUUUUUGGUAUAUCCUAAUUGAACUUGGCUUUUGUAGAAGACAACUAAUAGUGCCCGACAUUUGGAGUACAGGUUUGUCAUGUAUACAAUUUCUCCUUUGCAUGUUGAUUGUUAUGUCCCCUUAUCCCCUUAAUGGGCAUGGUCCUAGGUUUUCAAGAAGCAAUUUGUCUAUGCCUAAUCUCGAGACUUUAGGCUUCAUUCUACAAGAUGCACUUUUUCAUACAAAUGAUAUAGGGACUACAGUGGAAGCUUAUAAUCGUCUUCAUAGAAAAUCAGUGAGUCUUCCUUUGAAGAUAGACAAGUCACUUGAUCAUUUUAAAGAGGCUGAGAUUGUGGAAAUAGUAGAAGGGAGUAGUAGAGAUGUUAAUCCCAGUCUUUUAUCAUAUAUGAUUAUGGAGAAAAUUAAAGAAAUUGAUGAACAAGUUACCUGUGACUAGAAGGAGGAAAUGCAUGAGGCAGCAUUGGGAGAUGGAAGUUUUCCCCUGAAAAAAGAGGAAAUGAAUAAUAUGACUACCAAUCUUAGCAAGGAGGUGAUGGAAACUCUUGAAACUAGCUUCAAGGACAAUAAAACUAGAAAUGCAAAAGGUACAAAAUUGAAUUCACUAGGUUCUACAUUGGACGAAUUGGAGAUUGAUUUAUCAUAUAAAGGAAAUGUAUAUCAUUCUUUGCCAUAAUCUUCAUUCGACAGAAGUGCUAGUGUGACAGCGGAAGACACAGACACAUAUAUAUCAUUUCAUGAAGUUUGGUUGGACUACAUUGAGGGCUGCUUCAUUAGUUAUCCCAGUCUCAUUCUCCCAGAUGAAUUCAUCUUUCUGCUUUUGUAGCUUUUGAAUUCAACCUAGGCUAUGAUCUCUACUAACACUAGUGGUGAAUGAAACAUGUUGUCAAAGGCAGCACCCGCAAAAGCAAUUAAACUGCAGUAUCGUAGCAUAUAGCUAGGUAGAUGAAUCUAUGCACACACACAUAAGAAAUAUUAAAUAGGAUUUAGUAAUUUAUUGUUAAGUAUCUAACAGAUUUGGAGCGCCUACUAACAUAAUCCAUAUUGUAGAAAGAGGUGUUAUAGGUAGCUUUACUUAGUAUGAAUUUAAUAAAAUUAUUCAAUGCUUCA